UGAACGCUGACAGAAUGCUUAACACAUGCAAGUCGAUGGGGAAGUGGUGCUUGCACCAUGGCAACCAUGGCGGACGGGUGAGUAACGCGUAAGGGACUUACCUGCAGGACUGGGAUAACAGGGGGAAACUCCUGACAAGACCGGAUAAUGUCAUGGAGCUGCAUGGCUUUAUGAUGAAAGGAGACGCCUGCGGAGAGCCUUGCGUCCUAUUAGCUAGUUGGUGAGGUAAUGGCUCACCAAGGCGAAGAUAGGUAGCCGGCCUGAGAGGGUGGACGGCCACAAGGGGACUGAGAUACGGCCCUUACUCCUACGGGAGGCAGCAGUGGGGAAUAUUGGACAAUGGGGGCAACCCUGAUCCAGCAAUUCUGUGUGCACGAAGAAGGUUUUCGGAUUGUAAAGUGCUUUCAGCAGGGAAGAAGUAAGUGACGGUACCUGCAGAAGAAGCGACGGCUAAAUACGUG
Molecule: ribosomal RNA, 461 nt
Filed under: uncultured bacterium
Lineage: Bacteria
Description: partial 16S ribosomal RNA
Rfam family: Bacterial small subunit ribosomal RNA
Source: RNAcentral